This is a non-coding RNA of Arabis alpina (gray rockcress), 106 nucleotides long. NCBI's taxonomy places the organism in Eukaryota, Viridiplantae, Streptophyta, Magnoliopsida, Brassicales, Brassicaceae. The record is from Rfam.
ACUCCAUGGUGAGGACAAUAUCUAGUGUAACCCUUCAAUCUUUCCCGUGCUUCAUACAGAGCUUCAUUUGGACCUUGCUUGAAGCUUGGGAUAUCAUUUCUAAUCU